CAUAACUAGAGGCUCUAAAGAGCCUGUGUCGCUCACCUUGGUCUAUGUGAAUAUUAAACAAAGGAAGCAGAUGGAUUCAUGACAAAAUUGUGUUUUGGUGAUGGUGAUGCGUUUGUACAUCUUACUUUACUGAACAUUCUUGCUGCUUACAAUUAUCUCAAUAUAUAAUGAACUUGGCCCAGUAGUUUCAGUGGAAAAUGUAAGUAAAAAUUUACAAAUUUUAUGAAAAUUGUUAAAAGUUGACUAUAAAGGACAAUAACUCCUUAGGGGGUCAAUUGACCAUUUCGGUCAUGUUGACUUAAUUGUAAAACUUACUU
Molecule: long non-coding RNA, 317 nt
Filed under: Mytilus galloprovincialis (Mediterranean mussel)
Lineage: Eukaryota; Metazoa; Mollusca; Bivalvia; Mytilida; Mytilidae
Source: RNAcentral